RNAcentral lists this non-coding RNA (104 nucleotides) under Clostridium tetanomorphum. RNAcentral's name for it is "SAM-I sequence". It matches the Rfam family "SAM riboswitch aptamer (S box leader)". Rfam says of the family: The SAM riboswitch is found upstream of a number of genes which code for proteins involved in methionine or cysteine biosynthesis in Gram-positive bacteria. The SAM riboswitch acts at the level of transcription termination control. Lineage: Bacteria; Bacillati; Bacillota; Clostridia; Eubacteriales; Clostridiaceae. The record is from Rfam by way of RNAcentral.
UACUUAUCAAGAGAGGUGGAGGGACUGGCCCUAUGAAACCCGGCAACCUAUGCUUUUAUGCAUACAAGGUGCUAAAUCCUGCAGCAGUAGCUGGAAGAUAAGGG